Molecule: non-coding RNA, 31 nt
Filed under: Homo sapiens (human)
Lineage: Eukaryota; Metazoa; Chordata; Mammalia; Primates; Hominidae
Source: RNAcentral
UGACUAUUCAUGGACAGAAGUUUCUGCAGGC